Molecule: transfer RNA, 60 nt
Filed under: Caudoviricetes sp.
Lineage: Duplodnaviria; Heunggongvirae; Uroviricota; Caudoviricetes
Description: tRNA-OTHER
Source: RNAcentral
GGUAGAAUCAAUGAUCUAUCCUUAAGGAUAAGGUCGUGGGUUCGAAUCCCACCCCGCCCA